GCAGAGUAACAUGUACACAAUUUAUUUUGUAUUUUUGCUAUUUACUAAUCUUUCAGGCAACAUCAUGACUCUAAAAUACCAUACUAUAUAUUUUCCUCACUGAAUUUUACUAACAGUUUUGCUACUCCCAUUUUAUAGAUUGACACUUUAAAACAGAGACUGAGCAACUCAAUUAAUCUUUAUCAUCUUGGCACUAGUACCAAAAUAACUUACAAUGCAGAGGAAAUAAUUUUUUGUUCCUUGGGUAGCCUGUCUUGUCAUGUAGUAAUUUUCUUAUUUCUGUUAGUCAUCAAGCAGUCAUGCAGCUAAACAAAUAUUAGUUUUAAUACAAGUGAUUAUAAUGUAUACGUUAGAGAAAUGAAAAUAUCAGGUAUUUGAGAAUUCAAUCCAUCAGAUAGUUGAAACUUGUUUUGUGACCCUGGAAGGGUCAGGAAAUGGAAUUUAAAUGGAAGCUAAAACUAUCUGGAAGUUGAAUGACCGGCCUUGGGAAGCAGUGCAUUUCCUUUCACAGUCCCUAUGAUACAACAAGUAAAACAUGUCUCACGGGAAAUGUAAUAAAAUGUUUAAUUCAGAAGGGCAUCAAAAAUAUAAAAUGUCUCCAGAAUAAACUUUUAAAAUAAGGUUUAUUUUUAAGUAAAAACCAUAAAAAAUUCUUAAUGAUCAUUAGUGGGAAAGUGCCAUGUUCCUGGAUGAGCAGAGACUCUUACAAAGAGGUCAUUUCCAUCCAAUUACGUAUCACUAUGAUUU
This 747-nucleotide long non-coding RNA is filed under the name Bos taurus (domestic cattle). RNAcentral describes it as "long non-coding RNA NONBTAT004212". The record is from RNAcentral. Lineage: Eukaryota; Metazoa; Chordata; Mammalia; Artiodactyla; Bovidae.